GGGAUGAUGGGUGAGCUACCAAGGCUAACUUUUUCCUGAGGACAUUGAGUUAGGGAAGUGGCCUCUCCUUGAGGGAAGGAGCCAGAUGACUUCUCAGAGAACAACAACCAUAUUCAAAAUAUUCUCAAGUUUCUUUUGUUUCUUCUUGUCUGCAUCUGAUAUCCAGGACAUUAUUCCACAGGAAAAGGUUAACAGGAGAUCAAGAUCGGCCAGCUCCUACAGCAAAAGAAGUACUAAGAGGAAAGUUUAUAGUGAUAAGCACCUACAUAACAAAAAACUUCAAAUAAACAACCUAAUGAGGCAUCUUAAGGAAUGAGAAAAGAGCAAACUGAAUAC
RNAcentral lists this long non-coding RNA (336 nucleotides) under Pan troglodytes (chimpanzee). Its description in RNAcentral is "lincRNA". The record is from RNAcentral. Lineage: Eukaryota; Metazoa; Chordata; Mammalia; Primates; Hominidae.